Lolium rigidum is the source of this 4960-nucleotide long non-coding RNA. RefSeq lists it as uncharacterized. The record is from RefSeq and is a predicted model, not a curated record. Lineage: Eukaryota; Viridiplantae; Streptophyta; Magnoliopsida; Poales; Poaceae. The transcript has 7 exons.
GGAGGCCGACCUCCGGCAGGGGCCGCCGGCGUGCAGACAAAGGUUGGUUCCCUCGUCUCUGUUCUAUCUCAUGUUUCACUUCUCUCUCCCUCUCUUCAGCGAGCAUCAAGACCUUUGUCGGCGCCGUCCCCGACUCCAUGGAGGAGCGGAGCUUCAACUAGAUGAGGAAACACAGAAGGGGGUUGAGCGGGAGGAGCACAUGCUGCUGCCAUUAUUUUGCCUCAAUGGGAAGCAAGGGCAGCUGCAGGGCGCGCACCACGGCCAUGACUCCGGAGCUGCGGCUCCAUGGCGUCGAUCUGGAGCGUGAUGGCGGCAGAGGAAGCGAGGCCCCGACCUUCACAGCCACCAUCCUCGCCAGAGCUCCUGCCCCACCAUCAUUCCACCCUCCCCUAAGAUCCAUUGUCUCCAUCUGGCAUCUUGUGUACAUACUGUGUGUGGAGCUGCUCCAUAGCAUAAGCAAACAGCCCCAAGGUUCAAGUAUGCACAUCACUUGUUUGUCUAAAUGCUUGAGAAGCAACGCUGCUCAAGGAAUGGAUACAUGAGCAACAUAGGACAAACCCAAGGGCUAAUCAUAAGGAUGAUGAGAAGGUGCAGUGAGAAAUAAUUCUUGUUUGAUGUGAAGUCUAGAUCUAUAUAAGUGGACGGGCAUUCUUUUAUCACUGUUGUGGAUUUUUAGUAUGGUGUACAUGAUCGGGGUCGGUUAUAUGAUGUAUACAUGCAAGUGUGCCGGCUGAUGCGAGCCAAUAGAAGAGGAGAAGCCAUGGAGAAAGGAUUAGGAGAGAUGUUCCAUGCCCUUAGCUACUGCCUUCCCAGCACCAACUUAGGCUACAUCAGCAAGAGUGAAGUUGUGCAAAAGGGAAGAUGGACUCGUGGUCAGCUUUUUUUCACCAGUGGUCAAAGAAUUGGAAGGUAGACCACGUUUUAAUGAGAUUUUUCAAGAAGACAAGUAUCCAGCAGAAUUCUCUUACAAAGGACCUAUAAAGGAGUUGUUUAGAAUGUGGUUGAGGUCAGCUCGUGAAGUGUCCCAGGUGGCUCUCCUAUAACAGGAUGGUGGCACGAUUGAUAUUUGCUCAUGAUAUUCGUCUUUCCAUGGGUGUGGUAAAACGAUGGAGGGUUUAUCACUUAGGGUGUUCUUAGUCUCCUCAUUAUUUGUAUUGUCUUGGCUUACACAUAAUAGAAUCAAGGAUGACAUAAUAAUUCUGAAUUUCAUCAUAUGUUCCUUAUUUAUUCCCCCCUCUCCCAAAUUGCUUGAUUAAGUCGAUUGGUGUGCUUGGUAGCCCACUUGGUGGUCCUUAUUAGGAAAACCUUUGCUGUAGUUUAUGGGUCCUACUUGAUUGUUUGGUCCUGACCAUUACUUCUUUGUGACUAAGCUCUUCCUGGCAUGGAUAUUGUGAAAGGCUGGCAGCUCCCCCUUCCACCACUAGACCAUAAACUUAGGUGUUUUUUUUCCUAUAAGAACAUGAUUCAGGUUUUUACUUGACACAAAAGAGAUAAGUUGAGAUUCGUUACUCAUUUUCAUAUUUUUGUUUUCCUAAGCAAAAAGAGAGCAGGACUAUUUUUUUCUCUUAUCACUGUAAGCAGUUUGCAAUUUUCGGUUGCAUGCUUAUAUAUGAUCUAUGUUCAUGUGGCUUGCAUAUAUAUGAUUCUACAACUUGCAGAUAUAUAUCUUUCCAUAAGCAGGCGUUCAAUUCAAUGACAAUGGUUAGUGUACACUUUAGCUAGAGUUAUGUAGAUGAGACCUGGAAUGUUUGUAGUGUGGUCUUAGAACAUGUGCGCAGUCCUGUAAAUUAAAAAAUCAGUUGAAGGUGAUACAAUUUUUGCAUUUUCAAUCAUAUAUUUCACUAAAACAUAUACUUUGUGUAUUCUCCCUGCAUCCUCACGGCACUCAGUCCAGCAAACCUUGCCGCCCAUAGUCGACCAGCAGGUAAGUGCCUUAUCGCGGCCAUAUUAUCCCAUCAUUAUGUGUAGGCUUUGAGCGAAUAGUGAGAAAAGUGUCCGGAGGGGUUAUCAUUGUGCGAUUUUCAUGCUACAUUAUUUUGAAGAUCUGCCUAGGAUAAAAUUGUGAUUGUAAGUUUUGUGUCUUUUUAUUAUCCACUCUUCUAUUUAAGUUUGUCAAUCUAGAUAUUCACUCCAGUAUUUUUUAUUACAUUCUCUACUCAUGUAUUUACUGCCAACAAUAAUUUCUUUUGGGCUUUCUCUUGGUAGGAUAUAUUUUGUCUAUGCGUGUUUUUGGCAUACUGUAAUGCAUUUUAUGUAAAUUGCUAACAUAUGCUCAAUUUUCCAAGGAAUAAUUUAUGUUUUCAAUGAAUUUCCAAUAAAUAGAUGAUUAAAAGAUUUUUACAAUACUGGUUUGCCACUUCGUUGUGGCGAAAUAUUUUUGCUGCUGUCACUUUGGUACUUGUUUGUAGAAGAACUCAUGUAGAAUUUCAUACACUCAGGUACAACCUAAUAUGUUGGACUUUACAAAAAAAGCGAUGUUGGUAUAUACUCUUAAUUAGAUAGAUACCUUCCAUGCCCUUCAUCAAGUGCCAAGAAAAUAUUGAAAUCCAGUCUGAACCAUAUCAUAAUGCACUCCCAAUUUUUUUUGUACCGAACGUGAUUUCUGUGUUAAAGACCUGAGCUAAAGAUCGGAUCUCAAAUCUUUUCAGCACUGAACUUUUGCACAUGACUAUCUGGUGAAGACUUGGCCAGUUACUCCAGUCAUGCGUAGAUGUUAAAAGUAGCUGACUUUUGCCAACAAAACUAGCUAAACAUGUAUCCAGUAAUAUUGAUAAUUGUAUUUAGUACUCCCUCCGUCCAAGAAUAUAUAUUUUUUUAACUUGGUUUCUUGCCUAUAGAUGCUCACAUAUUGACAAUUAUUGCUUUUUGUUACUAAAAAUUGGCUGCAGUGUUCAAAAAGAAUUAUGAGUGUUGCAUUGCAAUAUGUUGCCUGAUCUGAAUAGUAAUAUUCAAAAAUGCUGUUCCAUAAAAAUGGUGCAAUAUGUAGCAGCGAAGAACUUGAUUUGUUUCCCCCUUGAUUGUUUAUCAUGAAAUAGUUUUUUUGUCUCCACCUGGUUGUUCCUAUUUCUGUUGUGUAAUAGCAUACCCAUUUAUGCGCAAUAGGUGAGACGCUAUUUAUUUGUAACUUCGAAAACAGUGAGUACUACCCAUAAUCACUUCAACUUUUAUCUAAGAAAAAGCAUAGGAACGGGAGAGGAUUGAACAUGUCAUUUUUGUUUAAUUUAAUGGCAUAUUAAACUUGAUGCACAUGUCACAAGUUAUAGCAGAGAAUGCACACUCGGGAUGAUUUUGAGAUCGCUGGGGAUAGCGAGAGCCAUGAAGGAACUGAACUUGUAGCUUAAUUCCAUUGGUAUUACCUUACACAUGAUAAUCCCAUUGGUAUUACCUAAACCACUAACUUUACCAGCACUAUUACCUUACACAUGAUAAUCCCAUUGGUAUUACAAAUAUUGUCUUUUUGGUUGCACAACUACUUAGUUCUUAUCGAUGAUAAUUUAUGUUGUUAUUCCUGUAUGGAUGAUCAUUGAUUUACAUUGUUAGUUUGUAAAUACACUAUAGGUACAAUAGAAUAUAAGGUCCUCUGCCUGCUACUUUGUAGGGAAGUGGGUAUGACCCUCUCACAAUCUCGGGUGAGGUAUGUCAAUCUCAUUUGUGUUGCUACCGUAGGUGCUUUGAAUUUAUUCGUGCUAGUUUUGCACCCUGUGUUUUUUUUCAUAGCAGGGUGAUAGUUAGCAUUGCUUUUAGUUACAAAUAUAUUGAUUUAGCACUGAAUUUGAGGAUCUAUAGAAAAGUUUUUAACAUCAGCAAGGAUCUUUACAAUUCAUCACUGCAGAGAUAUUUGUUCCACUAAUUCCCCUUAUGCUGUGCUGCAGGUGGUGGUUACUUACAUGAUAGACAUAUUUUUUUUCAUGGUUACUUGUGCUUGAUAUAUACUUAUCGUCUGCCUGGAUGUCAUGGUAACUUCAUUUGUGGUUGAUAAUACGAAAGCCACCGGCAUCAUCUGACGCAUCUGGAACAAAUAAUAGGUAACCUCCUUUUCUAUGUGUGCAAGAAGCUUAUAGAUACCUGCUGGGAUAGUGCUUCUAUGUAUCCCUGGUUUGAAUGGUUUCAUGGCAGGCAUCCUUUGUAGAAAGCAAGGAUACAAGUACCAAAUAGUAUUAUCUAUGUUGAAGCAGAACAUGGGAUAGAUAUCACCUACAUGAAACUGCAGAGUAAGUUAAUCCAGCUGGAUCACUUCAAUGCUUUUGCCACGUCUGAGACUGAGAGGUAUGGACCGUAUGGUGAACAAAUCACUCGAUCUAUCAACCUAACACGAGAACUAUUUGCGAAAUUAACCAGCAGAGUAAGUUAAUCCAGCUGGACACUUCAAUGCUUUUGCCACGUCUGAGACUGAGAGGUAUGGACCGUAUGGUGAACAAAUCACUCGAUCUAUCAACCUAACACGAGAACUAUUUGCGAAAUUAACCACCUAUGGGGCUUGUCUGUUUCCCUCGGCUACCUGUGUAGAUAAGUAUUGCAUCUUUUAUUCCUGCUUUAGCUUUUACCAACCAUAUCUGGAUGAAGUGUCUUCCUUCAAAAUCAACUCUAAAACAUCAUUACAUUUACUUCAUUCCUCAUGCCAUGCCUCCCAGCCUUUUAUAUCCAUUCAACACAGUAUUGUAACCCUCUUAAAUACUUUAUGAUUUCACAUAUUGUCUUCGUUGUUACUCAAAAGUUGUUCACGUAGAGGUUGUCAAGAUUGUAUCCACUAUGCCCGAGGACAUGCUGAAGAAGUUGCAGGUCCAGUGAUAUCGUCUUAGCGGCUUUUAUGGCUCUUUAAGUUUCCUCAGUCAUCACCUUUGUUGUCUAACUUAUUAAACAGUGCUGGUUCCAGCAAGUACGAUUACGAUUUCUCUCGGCUUAAUGUAAAAUGUCACUCUGUUGGUCUGUCGGCUUAUUAUAAAGUGUUUCGCAAAAUGUU